UCCUCUUCUCUUCUGUCUGUCACACACAAAACCAAAAAUGGUACCACCACCACCAAGCCCUCUGUCAUUCUCCGUGAGACGAUGCAAACCAGAACUACUCACUCCGGCGAAACCAACGCCGCGAGAGUUAAAGCAACUCUCUGAUAUCGGCGACCAACAAGGCCACCGGUGUCAUAUUCGGAUCAUAAUGUUCUACAAGAAUAGAAUCAAAGAAACAGAACAUCAUCAUCAUCAUAUCAGAGGCUAAAGCACUUGUGCUUUACUAUCCGCUCGCUGGAAGGCUUAUCGAAGAGCCUAACAAAUAACUUACAAUGGACUGCACCGGCGAAGGCAUUUUGCUGGUCAAGGCCGAAGCAAAUGUCAGCCUCGACCAGCUUGGCGACUUCGUCCGGCCACCGUGUCCCUAUGCUAAGGAGUUUCUGUAUGAUGUCCCUGGCUCUGGUGGGAUCACGGAAUGCCCUUUUUUGUUGGUACAGUUCAUCUUCGUCACGUCGCAUCUUCAUCUCAGGGCAUAUCAGCUCGUCAUUGAAGUUUUAUCCUAACUCUGUAUUGGCUCUGUGAACAUGCAAAUAUCAUUGACUCGGAAGACAGUAACACAACUGAUUUCCCAAGAUGUGCCAAGUGGAAUUUGCAAACCUUGACGAAACAGCUGCAGAAGACACCAGUCCACUCUCUUGCACCUCGACAGGUUAGAUUUCUAUCGCCACUGAAAUCUUAGUGAAAUUCUCAAAUUUCUCUGACCACUGGUUUGUUUCCAUCCUUGUGCCUUGAUUGAUUGAGAUCAAUUUUCUCUGAACUAUCAAUUUAUGUUUCUUCUUUGGUUACCACUGGUUUAUUUCUGCCAUUGUAAUCAUUUUUCUUUGCAAUCCAA
Molecule: non-coding RNA, 871 nt
Organism: Camellia sinensis
Lineage: Eukaryota; Viridiplantae; Streptophyta; Magnoliopsida; Ericales; Theaceae
Source: RefSeq, a predicted model, not a curated record